UGCGGCUCGUUGAUUUCGAUUAUCAGGCCCCAUGAGAGAUUCCUGCCUUGUGAGGGUGGUGGUGGUGGAAGGGGGUGGGGGGUAAAAUGGAGAGCGUGGUCAUGUGGGAGAAAGAGUACCGGCACUGGCUGAGGAAAAAUGGGAGUGAGGAGAGAAGCGAGGGGGGAUGACUGGGUAGGAAUCGGAAAAAAUCGCAUGAAAAGGGGGAAAAAACCCAGAAGAAAUGGAACCUCACUUCUUCCUCUUCUGUGGUGACCAUCUCAUUCAUCUAUUGAGCCUCUGAAGCGAACCACUCCGAAGAUGUAAUUUUGUAUUAGGAAUGCGGCGGUCAAGCAGAGACGCUCCCCAGCCAUGGGAAAGUCCGUGAAAGAUGGACGCUGCUCGCCAGUUGGGGACACAAAAUGGCGGACUGCGGCAGCGACUUUUCUCUCUCGGACUGAUUUUCUUCAAAUCUGUGCCCCGCGCCGGCGCUUUUCCAGAGCCACAGCAUGCUUCCU
Long non-coding RNA from Phycodurus eques (leafy seadragon), 497 nucleotides. RefSeq lists it as uncharacterized. The transcript has 4 exons. NCBI's taxonomy places the organism in Eukaryota, Metazoa, Chordata, Actinopteri, Syngnathiformes, Syngnathidae. The record is from RefSeq and is a predicted model, not a curated record.